AGUCGUAUGGUCUAAUGGUUAUGACGUUUCGUUCACACUGAUGAUGCACCGAAAAGGUUCCGUGUUCGAUCCACGGUACGACUA
Molecule: non-coding RNA, 84 nt
Organism: Xylaria sp. FL1042
Lineage: Eukaryota; Fungi; Ascomycota; Sordariomycetes; Xylariales; Xylariaceae
Source: the annotation of a GenBank genome assembly